Molecule: transfer RNA, 85 nt
Filed under: Felis catus (domestic cat)
Lineage: Eukaryota; Metazoa; Chordata; Mammalia; Carnivora; Felidae
Also listed under: 2 other names
Rfam family: tRNA
About the family: Transfer RNA (tRNA) molecules are approximately 80 nucleotides in length. Their secondary structure includes four short double-helical elements and three loops (D, anti-codon, and T loops). Further hydrogen bonds mediate the characteristic L-shaped molecular structure. tRNAs have two regions of fundamental functional importance: the anti-codon, which is responsible for specific mRNA codon recognition, and the 3' end, to which the tRNAs corresponding amino acid is attached (by aminoacyl-tRNA synthetases). tRNAs cope with the degeneracy of the genetic code in two manners: having more than one tRNA (with a specific anti-codon) for a particular amino acid; and 'wobble' base-pairing, i.e. permitting non-standard base-pairing at the 3rd anti-codon position.
Source: Rfam by way of RNAcentral
ACCUGGGUAGCUCAGUUGGUUAAGCAUCUGACUUUGGCUCAGGUCAUGAUCUCACGGGUUGUGGGUUUGAGCCCCACAUCGGGCU